RNAcentral lists this long non-coding RNA (997 nucleotides) under Mytilus galloprovincialis (Mediterranean mussel). The record is from RNAcentral. Lineage: Eukaryota; Metazoa; Mollusca; Bivalvia; Mytilida; Mytilidae.
UUCAAUUCUGACAUUGAUGAUAUUUGUAUUAUAAUUCUUGGAUUCUCAAUAUUCUUAUAUUCAGGUCAGUUGAUUAACCUUAUUUCUAAUUAACAAACUAAUAGUAUGUCAUUUUAAUACUUUGUGAAAGGAUUGAUUGUAUGUAUUGAAUGGAGGAAUAUUUGGAGUAUGAAAGAGUAAAAGAUUAAAUCAUUUUAUAAAAACACAGAGUCAUAUUAAACAUUUUAAUAUAAAACAUUCUAGUACUUUAAAUAUUAUAAAGUUACAAUAAAAGUGAAAGACAGAUAAAUUUGGAAUUUGAAUAAUACAGAACUCUGAAACUACAUAUUUUAGAUGUAGUUGUAUAUUUUAUUUAAUUGGUGAAAUAGUCCUGCCACUGGACUUAUGAAUGUUAUAUUUGUAUUUAUUCAGGAUAUGGAUUGAUACCUUAUCAAGUUGUCAAAUGAGUAGUGCUCAGAUUUUAAUGUACACAGCACUGUGAUAUUCCAGCUAGUACACUGACCUUUGUACCAUAUACAUGGUAAGCAUUGUGUUCUAUGUUGUUUAUUUGUAAUGUCUGUACUGUCUAUGUUUUAUUCAAGUAAUUGUCUUUUAUGUGAAGUGUAUUUAUGUAAUAUCUUUAUGUUGGUCAGAAUUUGUAUACUUUGUAUACAAAUAUAUUUAUUAAAUGGACAACUCAUUAAUAGAUUUGAGAUGUAUAUUAUUAUUAAUUAUUAUGAGAUACAUAUGAAUAUUGUAUUGGAAAGUUAACCAAAGAGUUAGAUUUGAGUGCUUUUAGGACUUAUUUCAGUAAAUAGAUAUCUAAAGGAAUAAAUAUGAAUUGUAGUUUUUCCCCUUGCCCAUAUGUUAUAUUGUACUGUCUUGUCAUGUGAAUAUUUAUUAUUUGUUUAUUAUAAUGUUGUAGGGUCUUAAAUAUUUGUGUAUUAAAAGAACAGAACCCUAGAAUAGUUUUCGUUGUAUUUGACCAGAAAAUACCCCGUUACAUUUGGCGCCCAAC